GAAUCGCUAGUAAUCGUAGAUCAGAAUGCUACGGUGAAUACGUUCCCGGGCCUUGUACACACCGCCCGUCACACCAUGGGAGUGGGUUGCAAAAGAAGUAGGUAGCUUAACCUUCGGGAGGGCGCUUACCACUUUGUGAUUCAUGACUGGGGUGAAGUCGUAACAAGGUAACCGUAGGGGAACCUGCGGUUGGAUCACCUCCUUACCUAAAAGAUACAACCCGCGUAGUGCUCACACAGAUUGUCUGAUAGAUGUAGAGAAGCAAGGCGUCUUGCGAUUGAGACUUCAGUGUCCCCUUCGUCUAGAGGCCCAGGACACCGCCCUUUCACGGCG
This 333-nucleotide ribosomal RNA is filed under the name uncultured Enterobacteriaceae bacterium. RNAcentral's name for it is "partial 16S ribosomal RNA". The stretch from base 1 to 205 matches the Rfam family "Bacterial small subunit ribosomal RNA", at positions 1329 to 1533 of the family's 1533-position model. Lineage: Bacteria; Pseudomonadati; Pseudomonadota; Gammaproteobacteria; Enterobacterales; Enterobacteriaceae. The record is from RNAcentral.